AAAAGAUUUACAUGCAGUGCAAUGUAUUUUUACCACAAUGUUAUUUGAUUUUUUAUUUGUCUUCUACAACUUUUCUUGUUUUAAAGUUGUAGAAGACAAAUAGUGUUAGACAUUGCCAUCAUUUGCCCAUCCACAGACGAGGUCUAACAGUACACCAGUAAGUUUAAAGGGUUGUUUGGUAUCUCUUUUAUGAAGAGGACUUGUAUAAAUAUUCUCUUAUGAAGUCAGCUGCCUAAUUUGAAGUAAUGUAAUGUAUGUAUGAAUACUCCUUAUGAUUUGCAACCCAAUUUAGCCAAAACUUAUCAUUAUGACCUCUAUAACUGUAAUGAAAUAAAAUACAUUAAAGGAAAUGUAAUAAGAUGUUUUUUGGGCAGAAUAUAUCUUCAGUUAUCAACUGAUAAUUUUUGAACUAAUAUGACCCCUUUAAACAAUAUAAUACACAUCAAGUGAAAUACCAAGUUAGCUGGAAUAGUUGAACACUCUUCUACGAGAUUUUUAUUCUAAAGACUGAAUCUUACAUUAGAGUAAUCUACCAUCAUGAAUAUUAAGGCCCUUGAAAUGGGAUAAACAACUUGAAUACAAAACUUAAUUUCUCUCUUUUUUUCUUAUUUCAAAGGAGUAGGUCCAGUAAGACCCCUUUUUGACCCCAAACUAUAGCGGUUUUACAAAGAUGUUCAAAUGUAAACUAUUAGUUAUUUAUUGGAAAGUAGAAUGCUUCUACUACAUAAAUAUGAGCUGUUUUUGACAAAACAAUGCACAUAUAUUGGGUACCACCAUCAUUAAGUCAUGCUAAAUUACUGAAAUCUUCACAGUUUUAGCAUUUUAGUUAAAUUUUAGACAGUUUCCGUCUUAAAUGAAAGUUUCAGCAUUUGUGUUUAUUCUUAAUAUUGAAAUGUAAGUAAUAUUUGAUGAUAAUACAUAGCAUAUAUAAUGGUUGAGGAUAAACACGGAUGCGGCCACUUUCAUUUUUGACAAAAACCAUCGUCAUCAUUUUUUUUUCAUAUUUGAUAGAUUAUUCAUAUUGAAGCUUGAAUUGGAGUAUUUUUAAUGGCUAAAUCAGUUAAAAUCUUUCACAUAAACUAAUUUAAUCAACUAAAAUAGAAACUUUGACUCUAAUGUUUAAAAAGUGUUCAAAAACUUUCUUCAGAUGAACCCCAAAUUUGAGUUCAAAAUCAGCCCUUACUGGACCUACGUCUUUAUUGUACGAUCAAAACCCAUUUUGAAAAUAAAAUGGUUUAUUGUGCAUCAUAUUAAAUGUCUUUCUGUCACACCAUGCUGUACUUUGCACUACCUUUUAUUUGAAGUUUAUAUGUGUCUAGUCAUGAAAGUUUACACCAAUAUAGCUUUGAUGUCCAGAAUAUGUUGAAUAAUAUAUAUUUUGUCU
Molecule: long non-coding RNA, 1384 nt
Filed under: Mytilus galloprovincialis (Mediterranean mussel)
Lineage: Eukaryota; Metazoa; Mollusca; Bivalvia; Mytilida; Mytilidae
Source: RNAcentral